CCUACGGGAGGCAGCAGUGGGGAAUAUUGCACAAUGGGGGAAACCCUGAUGCAGCAACGCCGCGUGAAGGAAGACGGUUUUCGGAUUGUAAACUUCUAUCAAUAGGGAAGAAAGAAAUGACGGUUACUAAAUAAGAAGCCGAGGCUAACUACGUGGCAGCAGCCGCGGUACUACGUGGGGGGCACGCGUUAUCCGGAAUUACUGGGUGUAAAGGGAGAGUAGGCGGCAAGGUAAGCGAUAUGAGAAAGCCUUAUGCUUAACUUAAGGAGGGCAUAACGAACUAUCUAGCUAGAGUACAGGAGAGGAAAGCGGAAUUCCUAGUGUAGCGGUGAAAUGCGUAGAUAUUAGGAAGAACACCAGUGGCGAAGGCGGCUUUCUGGACUGAAACUGACGCUGAGGCUCGAAAGCGUGGGGAGCGAACAGGAUUAGAUACCCUUGUAGUC
This 443-nucleotide ribosomal RNA is filed under the name uncultured bacterium. Its description in RNAcentral is "partial 16S ribosomal RNA". It matches the Rfam family "Bacterial small subunit ribosomal RNA", at positions 338 to 795 of the family's 1533-position model. The record is from RNAcentral.